AUGGCACCACAAUACAAGCUCUCAUGUUUGACAGCUUUGCAUAUGCUGCUAUGCAUAGCCAGUGCAAUCAGCCCGGAAGGAGAAGCACUCCUCCGGUGGAAGUCCACUUUGCUCAAUUCCACCUACCUGUCAUCAUGGUCGCAUGCCGAAUCGACCUGCAAUUGGUUCGGCGUCACCUGUGGCCAUGCCGGCCAUGUUACCGCACUCGACCUAUCCUGGUUAAGCCUCAAUGGCACGCUCGACGCCUUGUACUUCCCGGCGUUCCGGAACAUCACCACACUCGACCUCUGUGGCAACAACCUCGUCGGUACCAUCCCAGAAAACAUAUCGCUGCUGCUCACCUUGACCUACCUGGAUUUGAGCAACAACUAUUUUGUUGGUGUGACCCCCCAUCAACUCGGCAAGCUCCCAUGGAUUCAUUACAUCGAUCUGGGAAAUAACUACUUAACCAACCCAGACCCUGCCAAGUUCUUGCCUUUGUCCACCGUGCAGACCUUACAUCUAAAUGAUAACAAUCUCAACGGCACUUUUCCACAGUUCAUCCUGAACCGCACCAAUGUUAGGUUGGAGGACCUCGACCUAUCAGGUAACUUCUUCUCGGGUUCAAUACCUGAGACUCUGCCAGAUAUGGUUCCAAAUUUACUAUUUCUUGAUAUGUCCUCCAACAUGUUCUCCGGACUCAUACCGAGUGAAUUCGGUAACCUUACUAGUCUUGAGUCCUUGCACCUAUCGUGGAACAUGCUAUCUGGAGGUUUGCCACCAUCCUUUUCAAUGAUGGGCCAAAUUCUAAACUUUGAUGUUGGGAACAACCACCUUCUCAGUGGCAACAUCCCACUAGAAUUGUUUUCAAACUGGACUGAACUUGGCUUUUUCAGUAUUGCAAACAACUCCUUCACCGGAAGCAUUCCACGGGAGAUCAGCAGAUGGGAGUCCCUGCAGUACCUCCUCCUUUCUGGCAACUGCUUCAACAGCUCAAUCCCCACGGAGCUAGGAUCUUCCCUGCGGGUGCUAGACUUGUCCAAUAACCAUCUUACAGGCAUGAUACCAUCGGGGUUUGGUAAAUUAUCAUUCUUAUUACAAUUCCUUGACCUUAGCAGCAACCACUUGGAGGGAGAGAUUCCAGCGAGCUUGUCGCUCCUAUCUGUCAACUACAUAUUCUUGUUCGGUAACAGGUUGACAGGUGUCAUCAACAAGGAUUUCUGUAAGCAACGUCAUCUACAGUUCUUGGACCUAUCAAACAAUCUCCUGUCUGGAAUGCUCCCUGGUUGCUUAUGGAACCUGCCUAAUCUUACAUACAUGGAUUUGUCAAGCAAUGCCUUUGUUGGAGAAGUCACAACCUUGACGAAUGAUGCUUCUCCAUUAGAAUCAGUACAUUUGUCCAACAACAGCUUCUCUGGAUAUUUUCCAUCUCUUAUAAAGAACUUGGAAAGCUUAGUAAUUUUGGAUCUUGGAGACAAUAUGUUUUCUGGCACAAUUCCUUCAUGGAUAGGAGCUAGCCUCUCUAUGCUAAGAAUUCUCCGACUACGGUCAAAUAUGUUUCAUGGAAGUAUUCCUUGGGAGGUAUCACAACUCUCUCAUCUCCAGUUGCUUGACCUAGCUGAAAACAAUCUUACAGGUUCUAUUCCAGUAAGUUUCGCAAACUUUACUUGCAUGAUAGAGACAACGCCAGAAAUGGAUGUAAGUGCUAUCCUUGCAAGCUUUGAAACAUUCGGGGAUAUGCCUUAUAUGUACACUGGUACGCAUUAUUCAUAUGAUGGUCAGAUGGACAUAAUCUGGAAGGGACGCGAUUAUACUUUCCAUAAGACAAUUACGCUUAUGACUGGUAUUGAUCUGUCAAGCAACUUCCUUUCAGGUGAGAUUCCUGCUCAGUUAGUAAAUCAUCAAGCCCUGCGGUUCCUGAACCUAUCAAGAAAUAAUUUAUCCGGUGGUAUCCCAAAAAACAUUGGGAGUUUGAAAAAUGUGGAGUCUCUUGACCUCUCCUGGAAUAAACUCUCGGGCCGUAUUCCUCCAAGCAUAUCAGAUUUGUUGUGCCUAAGCUUGCUCAAUAUGUCCAACAAUCUACUAUCAGGAGAGAUACCUACAGGCAAUCAGCUCCAAACACUCAAUGACCCGUCAAUAUACAGCAACAACCUGGGACUUUGUGGUCUCCCCCUGAGCACUCCAUGCAAGCAUGAUUCAAGUUCUGCAACAGUGCUGGAUCAGCCAAAUGAACAUGACCAUGAACUUGAAACUUUGUGGCUGUACUACUCAGUGAUUGCUGGAACUGUCUUUGGUUUCUGGAUAUGGUUUGGAACAUUGUUUUUCUGGAACAUCUGGAGGAUUACGUUCUUCAAUUGCAUCGAUGCCAUGCAGCAGACUGUUAUGCAAAAGAUGGUGUCUACCUGGCAGUAUGACACUCUGUUUCCCGCUUUUAGGCGUUCAUGA
Molecule: ribosomal RNA, 2424 nt
Filed under: Triticum aestivum (bread wheat)
Lineage: Eukaryota; Viridiplantae; Streptophyta; Magnoliopsida; Poales; Poaceae
Description: partial small subunit ribosomal RNA
Source: RNAcentral